CAGGGUUGUGACCAUAAUGUGGUGGCUUCUCUCCCUUAGGUGGUUUGCCAACUGGGGUUGGUGGCUUGUGUUCUGGGAGUGGCUUCUCCCCCUUGGGAGGUUUUUCCAAUGGGGUUGGUUUGUGUUCAGGAGGUGGCUUCUCCACUGGAGGCUUGUGUUCAGGAGGUGGCUUCUCCACCGGUGGCUUGUGUUCAGGAGGUGGCUUCUCCACCGGAGGCUUAUGCUCUGGUGGUGGCUUCUCCACCGGAGGCUUAUGCUCUGGUGGUGGCUUCUUGAAUGGGGGAUGCUGAGGGUAAUCAGCAAGUGAGGGGGCGGUGAGAACCACCAGGCCAAGCAACACCACUAGCAAAUAUGUAGGAGACAUCUUUGGGUUUGGGCUCAGAUGGUGCAAAACUAGGAGAAUUGGCUAGCCUUUUAUAGCGGAUCGUACUCAAUAAUGAAAUGACACGUGUCAUUAUGACCCAUGUGUAAUGGGGUCGAUUUGGGUCCUACAGUGUUGAAAACUUCGACAUCCAGUUUUGGCCUUUUGCUUUCUCUACAGCCGCCUUGCUUUUUCCCUCUUUCCUUUUGUUUUCCUCCUGCCCCAUUCUAUCAACUAAACACAAUUAUGUAGUUGUUUAAUUCUUAAAUGAGAUAUUAUCGGUCAAUCGUAUUAUAUUUUAUCAAGAGAGAACGGAGUGCAAUGCAGCUGUAAUUUUAUCGUUUACUUUUAUCUCUUGGACCACUGCAUUUUUGUUAAGAGGUGCAAUAAUACACGUCUUUAUCUGCCAUUCAAUGUUUACAGUAAAGAGAGGGCACAAAACUCUUCACUGCUCUGCAUGUGUCCCAAAAAUGCGAUUGGACAAAUUAUGAUUUGCAUGCUAAAAAGAGGCAAAUGAGGUUAAUUCGCACCAUAAUUAUUUGGUUUUCUGGACACCAUAAAAAGAUGUUAUACAGGCAGGGAAAAACCUUCAGAGUUAGCUACCAAAGAUAAUUAUCAAGCAGAUAUCACCAAGAGAAUUCCAUAGAGUCUGAAUCAAAGACAGAUUGCUCGCUCGUGGGGGUUCUUACUUUCUUUUGGGUAUAACUCACUGAGGUCACUGUCUUUUUUAUUUGCAUUUCACAGUUAGAGUUCUGCUCUGGAAGGUUUGUUCUGGAAACAUAUAAAAGGAGCAUCAUUUUGUUCUUGGGUAACCCAUAGUCGUGAGUGGGUCCAUUUGCAUGCUACUUAGUUGAAAAGUUGGACAAUUUGCUCCGACGCCUACCUCCUGGAUUCCAUGCUCGGUAAAACAAGAAUAAAAAAAAAUAUAUAAUUUACAAAUGGGGGAAAGAAAAAAUGUCGGAAAAAAUAGUAAAAUUCAUGUCACAUGCUAGUGAGAGAAGGGGUUGUUACACUCACUCGAAGUUCUUUUCAAAAUAUCGAAUGGUAUUUUACUUUAUGUGUCAGCGCAGUUGUGAAUGGAACGUGCAAAAGUCCAAAUUGGCGUUUUUAUUUUUCCCAUGUAGGAUGGUGACCUUUAAUAAAUAUUUAAAACAAAAGACGAAAAAAAAAAGGAGGGAAAAGGGAUCACAAAAGAUAAAAUAAUGUUUACAAAAGCUCAAUUAGUUUGCAAAUUACUGUUUGGAUUUUGAUAGUAUUUUAUUUGUCGUUCUAUAUUUGAUGUAAAAGAGAAUUUAAGAUAUUUCCGAAGCAAAAGCAUUAGUUUGCUCUGUGAUGUCCCACAUCGAAUAGGGGAGAAAGUUUCUGGCGCUAUAUAUGUAGAGGCUCCUCUUAACCAAGUAGAUGCGUUUUAAAACCAUGAGGGCCCCCUUAGGUCCAAAGCGGACAAUAUCUACAUGAUUGGGUGUAAGUCAUUACAAAUGGUAUCAGAGCCGAUCCCCGACCCCGGUGUGGGGGUUUGUUUGGCCCUGUAAGGGGUGUUUGUCUGUUUGACCCCACAAUCCCAUGGGACACAACGAGGACGUUGUGUCUGCAUGGGGGGGCGUUUGUGAUGUCCCACAUCGGAUAGGGGAGAAAGUUCCUAGUGCUAUAUAUGUAGAUGUUUCUCUUAACCAAGUAGAUGCAUUUUAAAAUUGUGAGGGCCUCUUUGGGCCCAAAGCGGACAAUAUCUACAUGGUUGAGUGUAAGUCAUUACAUGCUCCAUGUCAAUUUCAGCAUUUCUCAUAUGUUUCACACAUACACAGAAGAGCAUCGUUUUUUAAAGCAUGCAUUUAUGUUGGAUUAAUUUGGAUUUUGUGGGAACUGGGGCAAGGAUCACAUGGAAGAGAGGUUGACUUUUUUCAGUACUUCAAUGGUUGAAAUAUGUGAAGGCUUGAUUGAUACUAAAGCUUGAAAUUGCGACUCUGUCAUUUGUAAAAAAAUAUGACAGCUUCCAUGCUCUCGUUUGGUUGCAUUGUCCGGUCGAGAGGUGCAAAAAGCAUUCUCUCUCUUCUAAUAGUCUUUUCGUUUAAAUCAAGGGAUUUGCCUUCCCGGUCGAGGUCCAAUAGAGGGUAACGGUCACCUACUAAACAUUAAAUGCUCCAACAACUAGUGAACUGAUCGACCCCAGCUCGACUAGUUGAGGUUACUUUUUGGUUUUCUUGUCUCCCGAGGUUAGAAACCUAUAAAUAGAGAGCUUCACUUCAUUUAUGAGUAAGAGAACACCUAAAUUUAUUUGUUUACCUACUUGUUUUUGCCAUAAAAGCUCUCAUUUCUUUUCUUGGUGUAUUAAAUCUCCAUUUGCAUAUCCUUUAGUGCACCUUUGUGAUUCAUUCUAGCCUUGAGUUGUAUUUAAGCCUUUGUUGAGCUAGGUUGAGAGUUUCAUACUUGUUUAUUGAGUGUUAAAGCCUUCAAGUGAGUUAAAACUUGAAGAGAUUGUGUAAGAGCCCAUUGGAGUCGGAAUCCAAGUGUAAAGGUGAUUAAAAGCUUGGUUGAAGCUUCAAGUUAGUGGAACUCUCACUCGGUUAUGAGCUUGAGAAGAGUGGACAUAGACAAGGCAGUGUCGAACCACUAUAAAAUCUGAGUUUGAUUUCUCUAACCUUAUCUCUUUAUAUUUGCUUCUCUUGUGCUUAAAUUUUUUGUGUUUAAAAAGAAUUUUUAAAAACUCAAUUCACCCCCUUCUUGGGAGUUUUUCUCUUUUAAGAUCAGCUUUUAUUUUCUCAAUUGGUAUCAGAACUAUGCCUCUUGUUUAAGACUUAAUCGUCUAAGAGGAAAUGGCUAAUCCAUCAAGUUCAUCUCACAUUGAAAGUUUUGCAACCAAUAGACUUCUUUUUUUUUUUUUGCGGGAACUGAUUAUCCCUAUUGGAAAACUAAAAUGACUUGGUUUUUACAAUCAAUUGAUUUAGAUGUAUGAGAUGCCAUUGAAGAUGACCUAACUUUUCCUUCAAAACUAGUUGAUGGAGUCAUGGUUCCAAAACCUAAGCAAGAAUGGGAUGAGCGUGAUUGAAGAAAUUUUCAAUUAAAUGCUAAAGUCGUUUAUACUUUGCAAUGCUCUAUGGACAGAAAUGAAUAUAAUAGAAUAUGUCAAUGCAAAUCGGUUAAAGAAAUUUGGAGAUUGCUUGAAAUAACUCAUAAAGGAACAAAUCAAGUUAAAGAGUCAAAAAUCAAUUUACUUGUUCAUAGAUAUGAAUUGUUUUUUAUGAAAGAUAAUGAAACUAUUGUUAAGAUGAUCACUAGGUUCACCAACAUUGUUAAUGGUCUUAAAGCCUUGGGAAAGACCUACAAGGAAUCCGAAAACGUGAUGAAGAUCUUGAGGUCACUUCCAUCAAAGUGGCAUACCAAGGUCACCGCAAUUUAAGAAGCAAAAGACUUGAUCAAGCUACCUUUGGAGGAGUUCAUAGGGUCAUUGAUGACAUAUGAAAUCAAUUUGGCAAAGAAGUAACAAAAAGGUGAAGACAAAAAGAAGAAGAACAUAACUCUCAAAGCUACAACUAAGGAAGAAGAAGUUGAAGAAGAAAAACAAAUUGAAGAAGAUGAAGAUUUAGCCCUCAUCACAAGAAAGUUCAACAAAUUCAUGAGGGGUGAAAGGUUUAGAAGAAGAAGGUUCACUUCUAGAAGAGACUUUUCUAAAAAGGAAUCUUCAUCUAAUGGUGACAAAAAGAGAUGGGAAGAGAAAAGAGACUUGGUGUGUUUCAAGUGCAAGAAACCGGGACACAUUAAAUAUGAUUGUCCUCUCUACAAAAGUGAAGUCAAGAGGAAAAAGAAUAAGGCAAUGAUGGCCACUUAGAGUGAAAGUGAAGAUGAAUCAUCCGAAGAAGAAAAUGAGAAAGAAGUGGCAAACAUGUGUUUCAUGGCAAUAGAUGAACUUGAUGAGGUAAAAUCUAACCUUAGUGAUUAAGAUAUACAUGAUGCAUUUGAAGAAUUGUAUGAGGAUUUUUAAAAACUUAGUUUGAAAAAUAUUUCUCUUAAAAAGAAAGUUCAACAACUUGACAAAGAACUUAGAGAAGUAAAAGAAAAAUUUUCAAAUGUUAAAGUUUCUAAAACUCAUCUUGAAAAAGAAAAUGAGAUUCUAAGAAAGAAAAAUGAAUAGUUGAACUCCUCUCUUUCAAUCUUUUCUUCUAGACAAAAAUCUUUUGAAAUGAUUCUAACUAGCUAAAAAUGUGUUUUUGACAAACAAGGGUUAAGAUUUAAAUCUUCAAAAAAUCAAAAGUAUUUUAAAAACUAUUUUGUAAAGGAAUCCACAAGUGCAAGUCCUUCCACUACUUGCAACUUUUGUGGAAGAGAAUGGCACAUUAGUAGUACGCCCUUUAAGAAAUGGUUCUCAAAAGAAUUUAAAUGCAAAAACUAAAAAAGAUUUGGAUUGAGAAAUCCAAGGUCACUAACCCUCAAGGACCCAAAAAGAUAUAGGUACCUAAAUCAACUUGAGUUUUAUGUUGUAAGGUUCAAAGAAUGAUAAGUGGUUCUUAGAUAAUGGUUGCUCAAGACACAUGACCGGAGAUGAAUCCAAGUUUGCUUUUCUUAAAAAGAAAAAUGGAGGAUAUGUUACCUUUGGAGACAAUGCAAAAGAAAGGAUGAUUGGUCAAGGCAACAUUGGUAAUGGCACAUCCUCUCUCAUUGAAAGUGUUUUAUUAGUAGAUGGUUUCAAACAUAACCUUUUAAGCAUUAGUCAAUUUUGCGACAAAGGUUUUUAAGUGAUUUUUUAAGCAUCUCAUUGCAUCAUCAAGGAUAUUCAAAAUGAUAAAACCAUUUUCAUGGGCCAUAGAUGUGAUAAUGUUUAUGCUAUAAAUAUUUCAAAAUAUGAUGGCCAUGAUAGAUGUUUUUCAAGCAUGCAUGAUCAAAGUUGGUUGUGCCAUAGGAGAUUGAGACAUGCUAACAUAGACCUCAUUUCCCAACUCAACAAAGAUGAACUUGUUAGAGGCCUUCCCAAAAUAAUUUUUUAAAAAGAUAAAGUUUGUGAAGCUUGUCAAGUGGGAAAGUAAAUCAAAAACUCUUUUAAAAACAAAAACUUCAUUUCCACAUCUAGGCCACUUGAGUUGUUGCAUAUGGAUUUAUUUGGUCCCUCUAGGACACCAAGUCUUAGAGGAAAUUCUUAUGCAUAUGCUAUUGUGGACGACUUCUCUAGAUACACAUGAGUCUUGUUUUUUAGUCAAAAGAAUAAAGUUUUUUAUGAGUUUUCAAAGUUUUGCAAUAAGAUUCAAAAUGAAAAAGGUUUUUCAAUUACUUAUAUAAGAAGUGAUCAUGGGAGAGAAUUCGAAAAUAUUGAUUUUGAAGAGUAUUGCAAUGAGCAUGGAAUUGACCACAAUUUUUUGGCUCUUAGAACUCCUCAACAAAAUGGGGUAGUUGAAAGGAAAAAUAGAACUCUUCAAAAAAUGACAAGAACCAUACUAAAUGAAAACAACUUACCAAAAUAUUUUUAGGCCAAAACGGUUAACACUUCUUGUUAUGUUUUAAAUAGAGUAUUAUUGAGGCUCAUACUUAAGAAAACUCCCUAUGAGCUUUGGAAAAACAAAAAACCCAACAUUAGUUAUUCCAAAGUCUUUGGAUGCAAUAUUUUAUAAUAAACACCAAAGACAAUCUUGGAAAAUUUGAUGCAAAAUUGGAUGUUGGAAUUUUCCUUGGUUACUCAACUUCAAGUAAAGCUUUUCGAGUUUUAACAAAAGAACCAUGGUUGUAGAGGAGUCCAUCCAUGUUAUUUUUUAUGAAUCUCCAAGAAAGAGAGAGGAUUGAUGAUGAUUUAGGUUUGAAGACCUCUAUAGGAAGAUUGCAAAUCGAAGAUAGAAGACAACAAGAAGAAAAUGGAGAGAAUCCAAAGAAAGAAGGAUCACCAUUGGCACUACCCCCUCAUCAACAAGCGCAAGGUGAAUCAAGUCAAGAGCUUCCUAAAGAAUGGAAGUUUGUCAUCAAUCACCCACAAGAUCAAAUUAUAGGCAAUCCAUCUAGUGGGGUAAGAACUAGAUCCUCUCUUAGAAAUAUUUGCAAUAAUCUAGCUUUUAUCUCUCAAAUUGAGCCUAAAAAUAUAAAUGAUGUUUUAGAUGAUGAAAAUUGGAUAAUUGCAAUGCAAGAAGAGUUAAAUCCAUUUGAAAGAAGUGGAGUAUGGGAAUUAGUACCAAGACCUUCAAAUCAAAGUGUUAUUGGAACUAGAUGGAUCUUUAGAAAUAAAAUGGAUGAAAAUAGCAUAAUUGUUAGAAAUAAAGCAAGAUUGGUAGCCCAAGGUUUUAAUCAAGAAGAAAUGAUAGAUUAUGAAGAAACCUUUGCCCCCGUAGCUAGGUUGGAAGCCAUUAGGAUGCUACUUGCCUUUGCAUGUUUUAAAGACUUUGUUUUAUAUCAAAUGGAUGUGAAAAGUGCUUUUUUAAAUGGUUUUAUAAAUGAAGAAGUAUAUGUUGAACAACCACCCGGUUUUCAAAGUUUCAACUUUCCUAACCAUGUUUUUAAACUUAAAAAGACACUUUAUGGUUUGAAACAAGCACCUAGAUCAUGGUAUGAAAAAUUGAGUAAAUUUCUUUUGAAAAAAAUGUUUUAAAAUGGGAAAAAUUGACACAACUCUUUUUAUAAAAACCAAAGAAAAUGAUAUGCUCUUAGUUCAAAUAUAUAUUGAUGAUAUCAUUUUUGGUGCUACUAAUGUCUCUCUUUAUGAAGAAUUUUCUAAGUGCAUGCAUAGUGAGUUUGAAAUGAGCAUGAUAGGAGAACUCAACUUCUUCCUUGGACUUCAAAUCAAGCAACUAAAGGAAUGAACCUUCAUCAAUCAAGCAAAGUAUAUAAGAGAUCUUCUCAAAAGGUUCAACAUGGAAGAAGCCAAAACAAUGAAGACUCUAAUGAGCUCAUCCAUUAAGCUUGAUAAGGAUGAGAAAGGUAAAUCCAUUGACUCUAUUAUGUAUAGAGGCAUGAUAGGUUCUUUGCUCUAUUUGACCACUAGUAGACCUUACAUUAUGUAUAGUGUGUGUUUGUGUACUAGAUUUCAAUCUUGUCUUAAAAAAUCUCACUUAAGUGUCGUGAAAAGAAUCCUCAAAUAUUUGAAAGGGACAAUGGACAUAGGCUUAUGGUAUCCUAAGAGUGAUAACUUUGAAUUAAUUGGUUUUUUGGAUGCUGAUUUUGUCAGUUGUAGGGUUGAAAAAUAAAACACUAGUGGCACUUUUCAUUUCUUAAGACACUUACUUGUCUCAUGGCAUAAUAAGAAGCAAAAUUUGGUAGCUUUGUCAACAGCAGAAGCUAAAUACAUAGCAACUGGUUUAUGUUGUGCACAAAUCCUUUGGAUGAAAUAAACACUUAGUGAUUUUGAUUUAUCUUUUGAGCAUAUUCCUAUUAAAUGUGAUAAUAGUAGUGCCAUAAGUAUAUCAAAAAAUCUCGUGCAACACUCUAGGACUAAGCAUAUAGAGAUUAGACAUAAUUUUCUUAGAUAUCAUACACAAAAGGAUGAUAUAACACUUGAAUUUGUAAGCAUAAAAGACCAACUUGCCGAUAUCUUUACAAAACCUCUAAGAACAUUUUGUUGAUAUUAGAGGACAAUUAGGAGUGAUUUCUUUAUGAUCUAAUGUGAUGAAUUCUUGAUGAAUAUACUUUUUGAUUGCAUGAAUUUCAUGUCAUAUAUGCAUCAUAUAGAAAUAUACUUAGAUAAUGGUCAAAUUUCGACCAAAAAUCAAAAUUCCCAUGGCAUUAGGCAUAAAAAUUUUGGAAUUUCAACUGAAAAUGGUAGGAGGAGGAUCACAAAAUGAGAAAGUAUGCAAAAAUUGAAAAAUCAAAACGUUGACCAAGCGGUCAAUCGGACUAGACCGAUCGACUAGUUUGUCGAGAUUUAGGAUUUUUAAGAGACUCCAACGCUUCAAUUUUUGCACCGUUCUCCUCUAUUUCUUCACGGUUUCUCUGAUUUUGUCUUUUAGAGACUAAUUUGAGUGCGUUUUGGAUCAAUUGAAGCAUUUUGGAUUGGAUUUUAGGAAGAUUGAAAGUUAAGGUUUCGGAUUUGGGUCGCCUUCUCUUCCUCUCGCGUGUCACAAUCAGCUUUAGCAUUGUUCUCUUUCCAUUUUCACACACCUAGGGUUUCAGUUGUGAGCAUCUCUCUCUCUUUACCAACCACUACUCCCUUGCUUCUUCCAUAUGGCUCCUAGGCGAGAGUCCGCUACUUCUAGGGCACAAGGCAAGCACCCAACUGAGUCGUCUCAGUCAAAGGCACGUCGAAAAGUGAGAUUUGACAUUGCCUUGUUCAGUUCCAUGGAGGACUACCAACUAUACAAGCAACACUUUGCUUAGAGACGAGUAGUUCCCAAGAGAAAUAUUAAUUUUCCUCAACUUCAGCAUUUCGAAUUUAAGGGUCUAUUUACUAGGAUGGUUGGUUGUCUAUUGUCACAAUUUCGGAGCCGGUUUUCCUGACCUUAGUGCGAGUUUUUUACUCGAGGGCGACUUAUGGCAUGGGUGGCAUGAUCAUUUCUACUGUUGGAGGAGUUGAGAUCUGUCUGGACCCAGAGAGCAUCUGCCAUAUUUUCGAUAUUGCUCUGGUUGGACUCAAAGUAUACAAGUCCAAAAUGUGGCCCAUUGUGCCAGGAUUUGAGCUUAGAGAGGUCAUUCAGAGGAUUUGUGAACUUCCAGACGCCCAGGAGAUGGGCAAACCAUUGCCACACAGUUUGACGGUCAUCAACAGGGUGCUACACCAUAUAUUGUGCUCUAUCUUUCUACCACGAAGUGGACAUUGAGAUGAGGUCUCUUAUUAUGAGGCAUUCCUUAUUGACUCCAUUCUAACGGAGAGACGAAUUCAUCUACUAUGUCAUCAUUCACUAAGCCUCCUCACAGUGACAUACCACCUCAUCAGGCACCUCUUGCUCCUGACCAUGCUCCAUUGAUGGAUUUAUUUACUCAUAUUAGCUCUCUAGGCACUCGCAUGAAGGAGUUUGUUGUAGUUAGUGAUACAUGGUUCUACUCCAUAGAGGAUCGCAUGGAUCAGUAUCAGACUGGCUUCACGUCACAGUUUGAGUAUCUCCAAUAGAGGAUUGAGCAUAUUGAGGAUCACUUGAGCAUGAGAAGAUGAUGGCUUUUCUAUGCUCUGUGUUUCCACCUCCACCUCGUCAACCUUGAUUUCUUAGAGACCCAUUGUUUUCAUUUUGUAAUGUUGCCAAAAGGGGGAGAUAUUUAGGAUCUAGGACUCUAUAGGAGACUUACAUGCAUAUCAUUUUCAUAUCAUUGUUUGGAUCGUACAUAUUGGAUAGUGAUACUUUUUACUUAUAUAUGAUAUGCCUAUAUGUUUCAUGUCUUACAUUGUUUCUUAUUGCAAAUUAUCUCUAACAUGUCUUGAUUAUCUUUUUUUUAACUUCAUAAAUUUUGAUUGUUAACCCAUGAUUGGUUUGAGGGGAAGAUUCUUCUUCUCCUAGAUAACCAAGGUUUGUCAUCAUAAAAAAAUUGGAGAUUGUUAGCCCAAGGGUUCUCCUAAUCAUGUUUUGAUGAUAACAAACCAUGCUUAAGUUACUAAUUGGUUUGAAUUAUAAAGAAUUUCAAGUGUUAAUUUGAAAAUUCAUCAAAGAACCUAAUGGAUGCAAGAUCAAGAUUUUUGGAAGACCUUUAAUCAUAAGAAACAUAUGUAAGAUGAAUGCAUGGGUGCACUUAAGAUUUGCAUAUCAUUUCAUGCAUAUUUGGAAAACACGGUUUAUGCUUUAAAGUUACAUUUCCAUCAAAAUUUGAGAUCCAUCAAAUGAACCUUAGGAAAAAUGUUUUAAAAUUGGCAUAUAAUUUUACCUAAAGACCUUGCCUAAGUGUUAGAAGCAAAAGGACAAAAAAAAUAUAGGUUUUCUGGUCAAAAAUGGUGAACCAGUCAAGGCAUUGUCUAAAUCAGCUCAAUCGGCCAAGGUACCGGUCGAUCGGUUUCCCUUUCCCUGUCGAGAUCUAGUCAAGAGGUACAAAAAUCACAAUCUCUGUCUCUUUCUCUCUUUGUCUAUCUUCCAGUAGUCUUUCCUUCCCGGUCGAGGGAUUUGCCUUCCCGAUUGAGGUCCGAUUGAGAGUAAUAGUCACUUGCCAAAUAUUAAAUGCUCCAACAGUUAGUGAACUGGUCGACCCCCACCUUGCCCAGUUGAGGUUACUUUUUGGUUUUCUUGGCUCCCGAUGUUAGAAACCUAUAAAUAGAGAGUUCCACUUCAUUUAUGAGCAAGAGAACACUUGCAUUUAUUUGUUUACCUACUUGUUCUUGCCUUAAAAGCUCUCAUUUCUUUUCUUGGUGCAUUAAAUCUCCAUUUUGAUAUCCUUUAGUGCACCUUUGUGAUUCAUCUUAGCCUUGAGUUGUAUUUGAGCCCUUUUUUUAGCUAGGUUGAGAGUUUCAUACUUGUUAAUUGAGUGUUAAAGCCUUCAAGUGAGUUGAAACUUGUAGAGAUUAUGUGAGAGUCGAUUGGAGCCGAAAUCCAAGUGUAAAGGUGAUUAGAAGCUUGGUUGAAGCUUCAAGUUAGUGGAAUCCUCACUCAAUUAGGAGCUUGAGGAGAGUGGACGUAGCCAAGGAAGUGUCGAACCACUAUAAAAUUUGAGUUUGAUUUCUCUAACAUUGUCUCUUUAUAUUUGUUUAUCUUGUGCUUAAAUUUAUUGUGUUUAAAAAGAAUUUUUAAAUACCCAAUUCACCCCCCUCUUGGGUGUUUUUCUCUUUUAAAAUUAGCCUUUAUUUUCUCACAAACUAUUGUAGUAUAGUGGUUUUUAGGUGUCAUCCAUUAGGAUGAAUUGUUCUCGGUAAUUAAGGCGUGAAUGAGAGGAGAAUUAAUGAUUGUGAUUAAGUAAAAUUGAUUUGAAAAUUCAUGGUGAAAAAUCAAUUUAACAAUGGUUUCUAAUUGAGAAAAACAAUGAAAUGUGAAAUAAAAUAAAAUUAAUAGGAAAUGAAAUUCUCGAAGUUAGAAUUUUCUAAAAAACAAAUUCCAUGGUGAAUGGAUGUUGAGAUCUAAUUUUCAUCAAGUUAGAUUGAAAACCGAAAUUUUCAUAUAAACUGAUUUUUUAUUUAGUUUUAGGUCUAGAUUUAAUUUCCCUUAAAAUUAGGUUAUUUAAUCCAAGAAAUCAAUUCAAAUCAUAUAUUCAAUUCAUCUUAAAUUAUCUUCCAAUUAUUCACACAAUGCAACUAUUCAAUCUCAUCAAAUCUAGCUUUUAAGAAUUUAAUGAAUCUACCUAGUUUGCAUUGUAAUAGUCAUCCAUGACAAUUUGAAGAGAAAAAUAAUUCAAUUAAUCAAUCACUUGGAUCAAAUUACCUUUGCAAUUAAAGUUCAUUUCUCUAAUUCACCACAGAUUUUGUCUCUAGAUCCUCCUUUCUCAAAGAAAAAUGAGAUUUAGCCACACAUGAUUGGAGAUUUGGUCUCAUAAGGCAUGUUUAGCUAGUGAUAAAAUGAGAGAAAAUAAAGAAAAAUAGAGAAUUCGAUUAAGAAAGAAAAUCUAAAAAAUUCUACAAUUAGAAAUGUCCAAAAAGCUUUUUCAUGAGAAAAUCAAGUUUCUAUUUAUAGGCCAAGGUCAAGUGGACACUUGACAUCAUCUAAGAGGUCUUCCGGAAGCUUCUUCAUCAAGAAAUCUGGAGUUUAAUAAUAAAAUGGUCAUUUCACAAGAGCUCAAACAAUUUCGCAUGAUUAUGUGAAAUAAAAAAUGCAACAACAGCAAUUUACAUCUUCUUGGAGCAUUUCGCAUGACUGUGUGAAAUUUUCACAUGAUCAUGUGGAAUCGACUUGACAACUCUCAUUUAGCCUACAACAUAAUUCCACCUUUUGGUCCAUUUUUCAUAGUCAUGCGAAAUGGAAAUAUUUGAUUUUUAAGUUUUCUUUUGUCAUUUCUUUCAUUUCCUUCUCUUGAUUCCACUUCAACUACCUCCGAAUCCUGGUCCAAACCAAUUGCAUUACUUCUUUCAUUAUGCAUUUGGAUCAUCAUCAACAUUAUUUGUUCUCUUCAAUUUGAUUCAUCUCUUUUGUCACCAAUUUAUCAAAAUCAUACCUUGAAAUGACUCCAAAACUUCAUAAAACUUGUUAGUAACUCUUGCAAGGGCAACAACAUAUUAAUUAAGUGUUUUAGGCAUAGUUACUACUCAAAAGAUGCGAAACUCAUGAUAAUUAUUAUAUAAAAUAUGCUCUUUUUGAGUAGUAAUCAACUUUCUUGCAUAAGCAGACCUUUUAGGGUGGAGUACUAAAGACCAAUAUGCUUGUCCUUGUUGUAAUAAAGAAACUUGCUCUUAUUGAUUGCACCAUGGGAGAAAAUUUUGCUACAUGAGUUAUCAUCAAUUUCUUCCCACCAAUCAUAGAUUUAGACGUGACAAGAGGCCUCUUAAUGGCAAGGAGGAACUGACACUCACACUUAUACAAUUAUCGGGCAUUGAUGUGUUGCAACAAUUAGAAUAACUUACACCAAUUAUGUUGGGGAAGUCACAAAAGGCAAACAUGAAAACUAAAAGGAAAAAAGAAAAAUGUUACAUAUCACCACAACUGGAAAGAAAAAAGUAUUUACUUUCAUUUGCCAUAUUGGAAAGCACUUAUUUUACAUCAUAAUAAUUUAGACAUAAUGCAUAUUGAGAAAAAUGUGUGACAAUAUAAUUGAGACAUUGUUCAGUAUUGACGAAGAAACAAGGACAACCUAAAUAGUCAUCUCGAUUUACAAGCUCUAACUAUUAGAAAUGAGAUUCACCCAAUAGAAAGCAGGACCAAAUUUAUUUUGCUUGCAACAUGCUACUCACUCACCCCAAAUGAGAUUAAGGAAUUUUGCAAGUUUUUGAAAUCAAUAAAGGUCCCCAAUGGCUAUUCUUUCAAUAUCUCUCGUUAUGUGCAACUCAAUGAAAGGAAGAUAUAUGAGCUCAAAUUGUAUGAUUGUCAUGUCCUAAUGCAACAACUUCUCUCACUUGUAGUUCGUGGAGUUCUACAUAAGAAUGUUUGUGGAGUUAUCAUAGAAUUGCGUAAUUUUUUCAAGCAAUUGUGCUCAAAGGUGUUAGAAACAAAUCACUUACACCAACUUGAGAACAAUAUUAUUGUCAUACUAUGUAAAAUGGAGCAAAUAUUUCUUCCAUCAUUCUUUGAUAUUAUGGUGCAUUUACUUGUGCAUCUAGUAAGGCAAAGGUUGCAAGACUUGUGCAAUAUUGUUGGAUGUACCUAAUUGAACGAUAUUGUUAUAAUUUCAUAUGAAUCAUUUAAUUUUAUUUUAUAUUAUGUUCAGUUCAUUAACAUGUACAUUGGUCUACAUAUGGAUGAUGAUAGGUACCUAAGCACUUUAAAGUCAUAUGUGCGUAAUAGAACUUUUCUAGAAGGUUCUAUUGUAGAAAGGUACCUUGCAAAAGAAUGUACAACAUUUUAUUCUAGGUACUUGAAUGAUGUGGAAAUAAAGUAUAAUCACAAUGAUAGAAACUUUGUUGGUUUCAACACUAGAGGAGAUGAAAGGGGUUAUCUUUAAACAUAUUGGACAUGCAUUGGGAAAGCCCAUAUUUCAUUAACUUAGUUCAAAAGAGUGGUCACAAGCACAUUUAUAUGUGUUGACAAAUUGCGAAGAUGUCAUACCAUUCAUUGAGUAAAAAAUUUAUUUGAAUUUUAAUUAAAGCUCUAGUUUAUAUCCUUAAUCAAUGUUUUUUAAAUUCACAAGGAGCACAAGCAAACCAUCAAGGCUAGACCACAUAUACGUGUUUGAGACGUAGAUUUAAUUCAUAACAAGGAAUUUAUCAAGUGGUUUGAAAGACAUGUAAGUAUAUUCCUUAUUAUAAGGGAUUUAUUUCACAUUAUGUUUAUAUUGAAUCCAAACCUAUUAUUGAAUUGUAGGUUGAACAAUUACAUAAUGAAGGUCAUAUAUCUGAACACCUUCUCACAUUAUCAUGUGUUCCAAAUUCAUUAGUUACAUGCUUCAAAUGAUAUAUUGUCAAUGGAUUUAGAUCCCACAUUAAAGAACGUGAUAAAAAAGUUUUUAAAAAAAGACUCAGAAUAAUGGAAUUGUUGUAGUUGCAAAAACGUCAAGCUUUACAAGUGCAUGUGAUAUGAGUCCAAUUAUUAGUGAUGCUCUCUACUAUGGUGUUCUAACUAAAGUUGUUGAGUUACAUUAUCUUGGUGAAAAUAAGGUUGUUUUAUUCGAGUUUGAUUGGUGGGAUGUUACAAAUAUUGGAAAAUUGAUAAAAGAUGAUGAGUACAAUUACACAUUUGUUAACUUUGCAUGAAUUCUAACCACGAACGAACGAUUUGUACUUGCAUCUCCAGCAAAGUAAGUGUUCUAUGUGAAGAAUGCGAAUGAAUCAGAUUGGCAUACUAUCAUGGAGAUGCAACCUCAAGACCUCUAUAAGAUGAACGGGAUAGGAUCCAAUGGUGAUUUUGAACCAUUUCAACAAAGUGAACUACAUGAUCACUAAUAUAUCUCAGAUUUAGUUGAUGAAGAUAUAAUCAAGUGGAACAAAAGUGAUGUUUUAGGACUAAUCAUCCUAAAAAAUAUUGUAGUUUCUUAAAAAAAAAAUGAAAAUGAAGAAGAUAAUUGAACCUUUGUCAUACUUUAAAAAGCAACUAUGCAUUGUUCAUUUUGUAUGUUUUGGUUUUCUUCAUUUAAUUUCCUGAUUUUUGUGAUUCAAUGUCAUAUUAUUGAUCUUGAAAUAUUUUUCUAAUUUUUCAUUCUACGAUGGUUUCAACAAGGAUGACAUCAAGUCAAAAAAGGAAAUGUGGUCCCACACACAAUAUUGCAUUACAGGGAUUAAGGUCAGGGAAGAAGGUAAAAGUUGCAUUUAAUGAGUACAAUCAAUUGGUUAAACAGAAAAAUGGAAAACACUUAUCGAGCUACAUAGGGACACUUGUAUCUAACCAACACAAUGUACCUCUCCAAGCUAGUGAUUGGAAAAAUGUUCCAAAUGAUGCAAAAGAGAAAGUAUGGCCUUUGUUUUGGUAUGUUGUAUUUCUCACUAUAUGAUGUCAUUUCACUGUUAUUCUAUUUUGUGACUAACGUUUGAAUCAUAUGUAAGAAAAAUUUGAAGUAGAUAAAGACUGAAAAGAUUACAUGUUGGGUAUAGCCUCAAAUAAAUAUAGAAGCUAUAAAAAUAUGAUGAAUGCAAAAUACUAUGACCCUUGGCAUAAGGAUGCAUGAGGAGAGGUUAAUACAUAAAUCACCAUUUGUCUCUGAUGUUGAUUGGAAGUGGCUUGUCUCUGAUGCAUAAACCAAAUCCCCCACUGAAUGUUUGAUAUUUGAUAGCAGGAAAAACACACCCGCAGCUAUACACCUCCAUCAUUCAGAUAAUUAUAGUGGGGGAGAUGAUUCAUGGUUGCCCUUAUACCCUUUAUUUGCACCAUCUAUUGAGAUUCUUUAUCAUGGCCAGGUUUUACUGCAGCAAUAAGAUAUGGUGGCAACAAUUUUAUCUAUAGGUGCGGUUCCAGACCGCCUCCAUAGGUGCGGUUCCUGACUGCCUCCAUAGGUGCCUCUUCUUGUAAUGUUUGUUCUGGGAAUUACACUUGAAAGCCUUAUCGUGAUAAGGGAUUACAAACACUAGUUCAGAGGACAGCCAUGUUAAACUUCCACUAUGUUUGUGUCACAUUAUCAGCAGCCUAGUGUUUAUUGGUCAUGCUAUCUGCAACUAAUAUAACCCGGUGAACUUCAAUCUAAAUUCUGAAAGUACUCAUGUGACAGAUGGUGCCUUUCAGCAGAUAUCAUCAAUUUAAAAGUAGUGUGUGUGCCUAUAGGUGGGAAGGCCUUGGCAAAUGUUCAGUAUUCCGGUAAUUCAAGAAGGAUAUAUCUAAAAUAGAUUUUCUUCUUGCCCAUUUCAAUAGUUAAAAUUUGAGAAGAUUGUGUCCACAUCACACAAAUAUUAUUGGUCCUUCUGUUGCAAUUUACCUCUGAACAUGUCUUCCAAUUCCCACGGUCCUGUUACUCCAGGAAAACUAUUUCGGUCAUAUUGAAAAAAAAAAUAUUAAAGAAGGUACACAUGCUUUUAAGUGGACUGGGGCAUUCAUAUCAGGUGGUCUGUAUCCACAUAUGCCACUUCGUGAAAGGUGGAACAGCCUAAUCACUAGGCUAUUUAGUGUGGCCCAGCCACGUUAAUCAAGCACAAGUCUUCAUACUUAAAGUCAAAUGGUGUCUUUAGUCUCAUUACACAUCGCUAUUUGAAGAUUAACUCAUCACUAGUGUAAUGCGAUUAAGACAGUCCUAACUCAAUAUUUGUUCUAGUUUUGGAUGCAAAUGCUUGCUGGUUUCAUCAUUGGAUGGGAUAAAGGUGCAAUCAGGACUAUGAAUACGUGCAGUAAUACUUCAUUCUCUUUUUUCUCAAUGAGACUUCUUGGCACAAUUUUGCUGCUCAGCAACCUACCUUUCCAUGGAAAAUCAGUUGUGACUGAUAGUAAUGGAUAUAUUCUAGAAAGCUAAACAUAGAUAGCAUUCAAUAUUAUCGAUAUAACAUUAACAGCGUAUGUCUCAAUGCUCAUCAGCUACAAGCAAUGGACAAACACUUUGAGUAACUCACAGCAGUCAAAAUUCCUAAACAGGACAGACGUGACAGAUCUAUAUAUAGAACACUGCAUAUGAGUCACAGGAAAAGAUAAUACGGGUACAUAGAAGCUCUUAUUUUACAUAUUACUCAUACUGAUCAAAGUCGCUCAGUUGGGAUGGAUGGGAGAAGGAGGUUUGAGGGGUGGCUUGUGCGGGGAAGUUGGCAGCUUCUUUCCGGGAGCUGGUUGCUUCUUUGCUGGAGUUGAAGGAGGCUUAAUCUUCCGAGGUGGCUUGUAUGAGUCUUCAGCAUUCUCAGCAGGAGGGUGACCAGGGUUGUGACCAUAAUGUGGUGGCUUCUCUCCCUUAGGUGGUUUGCCAACUGGGGUUGGUGGCUUGUUUUCUGGGAGUGGCUUCUCUCCCUUGGGUGGUUUGCCAACUGGGGUUGGUGGCUUGUGUUCUGGGAGUGGCUUCUCCCCCUUGGGAGGUUUUUCGAAUGGGGUGGGUUUGUGUCCUGGUGGUGGCUUCUCUCCCUUGGGAGGUUUACCAAUUGGGGUCGGUGGCUUGUGUUCUGGGAGGGGCUUCUCUCCCUGGGGAGGUUUAGUGGGUGGCUUGUGUUCUGGAGGUGGCUUCUCCACCGGAGGCUUAUGCUCUGGUGGUGGCUUCUCGAAGGGGGGAUGCUCAGGGUAAUCACCAAGUGAGGGGGUGGUGAGAACCACCAUGCCAAGCAACAACACUAGCAAGUAUGUAGUAGACAUCUUUGGGUUUGGACUCAGACAGUGCAAAACUACGAGAAAUCGCUAGCCCUUUAUAGCGGCUCGGACCUAAUACUGACAUAAUAUAAAAUAAAUAUUAUAUUUUAUCAAGAGAGAACAGAGUGUAAUUUUAUCAUUAAUACCGAUCGAGGCCAAAGAAAGAAGACCCAUAAUCCAUUUCCCACAAGCAUACACAAUGCAGCUGUAAUUUUAUCAUUUACUUUUAUCCCUUGGACCACUGCAUUUUUGUUGAGAGACACAAUAACACAUUUUUAUCUGUCAUUCAACAUUUACAGUAAAGAGAGGGCACAAAACGCAAUUAGAUAAAUUAUGUUUUGCCUGCUAAAAAGAGGCAAAUAACUUUAUUUGCAACAUAAUUAUUUUGGUUUCUAGUGACCCCGGGGCCUUUCGGUUGGUUUGGGAUCGGAAAAUGAACAUCAUAGGGGGGGUUGUGCCCUUAUGGGCAUAUAUAUCUGAUAGCUUCAACUGGCCUUGUUCCUAGAAAGAAAUUGCCAAAGAUAUAAACUUAUUCCAGGCUGAAAGUAGAUGAGAGUCAUAAUGAACAUCAACCUUUGUUCAGUUUGAUUCAAUGCCCCCAUAGUGUUCAUUUCACAGAUCUGAAUGAUUAUAUCCGUUGAAUACAUAAAUUAAUGAAGACAAAUAUGAAACCCAAGAUACAUCUCUGCAUAACAACCCCAACCCUGGUUGCUAUGUUUCCCUUCUUCUAUUCACAUGAGGAUACUGGUUAUAAUUGUCAAACUUGCAACAAGCCCUUUGACACCUAACGUCAAUGGACGAAUUAAAAGUCUCCUUCAAACGUCUAUUUCACAGCAUGAAGCUUAUAAAGGAUGCUGACAACCUUCAGAGUUAGCGACAAAAGAUAAUUAUCAAGGAGAGAUAGUUCCAUGAGAAUUCCAAGGAGUCUGAAUCAAAGACAAAUUGCUCACUCAAGGGUUCUUAUUUUCUUUUAGGUACAAAUCUCUUGAGUGUUGUUAAAGAAACACGUCACUGUCAUUUUGAUUUGCAUUUAACAUUUCACUUUUGUUCUGGAAGGUUUGUUCCGGAAACAUAUCAAAUGAGCAUCAUUUUCUUCUUCGGUGACACAUGGUCGCGAGUACGUGGGUCCAUUUUCAUGCCACUUAGUUGAAAAGUUGGAAAGAAAAAACAUGCCAACAAGAAGAUAGUGAGAGAAGGGGCACUUCAAGCCUUUAACAUGAACAAACAGUAAAUAAAAGAUGUUUCUCCACUCAUAAAAGUGUGUUAGAUAGCAAUAUAACGAAUCACAUCCAAAAUCUUUACUAGGCUCAAACAUAAAGAAGACUCAUUUUUAAGAAAAGAUAAAAAUGGCAUUGUCUGAUAGUAUCCAAUACACGAGAUGGCACUUAAUUUGUACAAGAUCUGUCAAUGCUGACGCACAUUUUCUGAUUAAAAAAAAACUGAUCAGUCAAAAGCAAUGAAGAGAAGUGAUGACAAUGAAUGAUGCUUCCAAUAUUUUCACCCCUUAUAGUGUUCUUCAUGAUUCAGAUAUAUAAUUGGAAAUAGAACAACCCUAUGCCAUACAUUCGUCUAAGUAUGGUGUCUAAUUUUUUGUGUCAGCGGUUGCGAAUGGAGCGUGCAAAAGUCCAAAUUGGCGUCUCUCCAUUUCCACAUAGGAAGGUGACCUUUAUUGACAAAUACCCAAUAUUUGUAGACAUUCCUUAAAUAUCAUAACUUCUUGUUGAUUUGAAAAUCAUUUUUCAACUACCAUGUUUUAAUAAAUAUUUUUUAAAAUGUAUUUUUAUCAAAGUCCACCAUGAUGGAUAAUAUUCACCAUGCAAUAAUUAAUAAAGUACAAACUAAGCGAAAUGAAAAGCAUUUUCUUUGCUUUGAGUUGAUUUUGGUUGCAUUGAGUUGAUUUUGGUUUCAUGGUUUUUUCAACUCUUAUUUUGAUUGGAAGAUGUCAAGAAAAGAAAACAUAAAGAAAAAUUAAAAGGGAAAAAAGAAGAAAAAUAAAAAAAAAUAGAUUUAAAAGUUAAUAAAUUAUUUUUUAUAUUUAUUUUAAUUCAUUUCACUUAUUUUUCUUUUACUAUAUAAAAUUUAAAUAAUUUAAAUUUUAUAAUUAAUUUAAUUACAUUUCAUUUUCUUCUAUAUUUAAAUAUUGGAAAAAUAUUUUACUUAAUAUUUUUUUCUUUAAUUUCUUUGGCAUUUUGGGAACCAAACUUAGCCUUUAAAAUAAAAAACAAAAAAAAAAUGAAAAUAAGGAGGGAAAAGUGAGAAAAGAUAAAAACAAUAUGUAAAGGAUUUGAAAAGUAUUAGUUUGUAAUUACUAUUUGGAUUUCAAUAGUAUUUUAUUUGUCUUUCUAUAUUUCAUGUAAGAGAGAAUUUAAGAUAUUCCCCAAGGCAAAGCAUUAGUUACCUGCAAUCAGUGGUGAUAAGGCUCCAAGCCAAUUUUGGGCCCCAUAUCUUAAGACAGUACAAUUUCCAUUUCAACAUUUCUGAUUUCUCAGAUGUUUCACAUACCACAGAAGAACAUUGUUUGUGAAAAUAUGCAUUUAUGUUGGAUUUUGUAUGCUGUGGGGACUGGGGCAAGGAUCAUAUGGAAGAGUGGUUGACUUUUUCUGUACUUUAACGGUUGAAAUAGGAUAAGCACGGGCAUUUGUGAGGCUUAAUUGAUUUUGAAGCCUGAAAUUGCGUUUCUGUCAUUUUGUCAAAAAAAUGGCAGAUUCCAUACUCAUAUGUUUGGCCUGUGGCCAUGUACAGAUGCCAUUUAGUGACCAGUUUGUAACUGUCAAUCGUUGCGUUUUGACUCUGCCUCAACAACAUCUGCCAUUGACGGGUUUUCAUACUUGCAAAUCAAAUAGUCUUUCGUCCCAUCAGGAAUUUCGGUUUAAAUAUUAUUAAGCAUACGUUUGGCUGACAAUCAUUAUCCAGUUCAUGAUUUGGUUUCUUACCCUUAAUCAAUGGUUUCUAAGUGAAUAUAUGUAGAAGGAAAUCCGAAGUGUAGACAGUAGUAUCGAUAACUCUCAAUAUUCUCUAUAUAAUAGAAUAAACAGCGUCAUAGUGAUCGUCGCCUACAAGCAAGGUACAAAUACCAAAACGAGUGACUCACAUAGACAUCUCCCAACAAGAUGUAGUAGUGACUGACACAUGGACACAAUUAACUCGUAGAAAAGGAUAAGACCAUUGCACAGCAGCUCUUAUUUUACAUACUACUUAUGCUAACCAAAGUCAAUUAGUUGGGAUGGGUGGGAGAUGGAGGUUUGUGCGGUGGCUUGUGGGGCGGAGUUGAUGGCUUCUUUCCAGGAGCUUCUGGCUUUUUCAUCGGAGCUGAAGGAGGCUCAAUCUUAUGAGGCGGCUUGUAUGAGUCUUCUUUACUCUCGACAGGAGGGUGGCCAGGGUUGUGAUCAUAAUGUGGUGGCUUCUCUCCCUUAGGUGGCUUGCCAACUGGGGUUGGUGGCUUGUGUUCAGGAAGUGGUUUCUCUCCCAUGGGAGGUUUAGCAAUUGGGGUUGGUGGCUUGUGUUCUGGGAGUGGCUUCUCUCCCUUGGGAGGUUUAGUAGGUGACUUGUGUUCUGGAGGUGGCUUCUCCACCGGAGGCUUGUGCUCCGGUGGUGGCUUCUUGGUUGGAGGGGGCUUGGGGUAAUCAGCAAGAGAUGGGGUGGUGAGAACCACCAGUCCAAGGAACAACACUAGCAAGUAUGUGGGAGACAUUUUUGAGUUUGGGCUGAUCAGAUGAUGCAAAACUAAAGCAUUACGUGACCUUUUAUAGCAUGUAGCUCCCAAUACCCACUAAGUAUUGUGGGGUCCAUUUGUGCCCUACGGGGUUGAAAACUUAGACAAUUGGGCAAGGACCCACCUGACUAUGGAGGACUAGUGAGGUGUGAUCAUAGCUUUAGGAUUUUUCUUCCUCUGCAGCCGUCGUGCCGUUGGCAUGAUUUUCUUAAUCUUAAAUAAAGGCAUAGUUAUAGAGUUGUUUAAUCUCUAAAUGGGAUUUUAUAUAUAUCUUCAGAUAGCCAUUAAUAUAUUUGAUGAAGAAAGAAAGACAAGUGCAUACAACAUGUAUACGACUAGCUUUCAUGGAGUUCAUUUAUGAUCAGUUUUCCUGUACAUGUAAACCAGGAUCAUAUAUAUGUUUCUGUUCCACAACUAUUUUGGAAUCUUGUUUAUCAGUUUUUAUCAUUAUAAUGUCACAUAGGCUGCCAACUUGGGCGCUAAAAGAACCAGUUGGGCUAGUUCGUUUCAGAAUUUCAAUGUGGAUUCAGGAAUUGUUUUGUAAGAUAUGCGAAAUAGUAGAGGGAUGAAUAGUGUUUCAUUAAUAAAAGUGUCCUGUAAAUUAGAAGGUGUCAUAGAAACUAUAAUCAAUAAAUAACUUUUUUUCCCCACGGGUGGUGUUUCUUGUGGGGAUCAGUGACUGGUUUAGGUUCACCCAAAAUGAGUUCAGACUAAAAUUGGUUUGAGUCAAUGCCGUGUCUCUUUUUUCCAGAAAUCAACUAUUUUAUGCAUUGAAUAAAUCAUACAAAGAAAAUAUGAACGCCCGCAAAACCUAAACCCUGGUUGCUAACUUUCUAUGUUUCAGUUCUAUUCACGCAAGAAUAUUAGUUUAAGUUUGGGAAAAAUGGCAACUUACCUAGUGAUUACUUGGUUUUGGUUUGCGACUAUUUACGCAACCAACCAUGAGUUUGACUUUAACGUCAUGGGUUGAAGCCUCCUACAGGAAGGGAGAAAGCUCCACAGCUAGCUCCAAAAGAGAAUUAUCACAUUGAUAGCUCCAGAGAUUCCCAAGGGGACUGAAUCAAAGACAAGUUCCUCACUUUUUCUUCUUUUGAGGCCAAAUAUGAACCAAGGAUCACACAACCUCAUUCAACUUCAUAAGUUUGAUUUCAUGCAGUUGAACACUGGGUGAAGGCCAUGACAAGAAUUGAUUCAAAAAUUCUAUCACUCUUUUAAGUAAUGGAAGAUUAUUAUCUCUGAUUGGCAUCACAACAGCACAUGCUCCUAGAUCUUUCUAGACACUCCAUGCAAUGAAAGCACAAUGGAUCUUGUAACGAUAGAAACUAAGCCAUGCUACAGUACUAGAUGAUGAGGUAAAACUAGUAGACACGGGUGGCAGCCUAUAUGGGAGGGACACAAGUCUAAUUGAUUUGCAUUUCAGCAUUAUAGAUAGGUAUGUUUUGGAAGAUUUGUUCUGGAAAUACCGCACCAAGUAGGAUUCUUUUUCUCUUUAGUGGGUCCACUUGCAUGCCAAUUAACGAGUUGAAAAGUAUGAGCACCUACCUCGUGCUCGUGGAACCGAAGGUCAGUGAAGUGGGGCUCCUUUUGGCCUCGUGUAAACUUGAUUCAGAAGUGAAGUUAAUAGUCUUCCAUUCAGAUGGAUACAUGGGAAUUUUUCUCUUUUAUUUAUUUAUUUAUUUUUUUUUUGUGUGUGUAUGUCAAAGGAUAAUGAAUGAAGCGCGUUAGCUUGUUUUCUGACUGGAACCGCAGAUGUCCAAAUUGGAGUUCCUUCAUUUCUUACUUAGGAUUGUUACAUGUAUAAACAAGGUAUAAGAAAUAUGCCAACGUGUCUUGAGGAGUUAUUGAUUAGAAAUAACAAGUCACCCGACUGUAGAGUUCCAAGAUUUGAAUCUUCAGACCCUAUAGCAGCCUCUGGGGUACGUGGCAUCCUAUAGCAUAUUAAUGAAGGCUUUUUCGAUUUAGACUUCACAAUACCAAUUAAUAUGUAUGCACAAAAUGGAGAUGACCCCAAAAAAAACAGAAUCGCCAUAGUUUAUGAGGUUAAGGUGAUUCUCCACUUAAUAUCUACAUUAGCUAAUUAUGUAAAUCAAAUGAACUUCUAUUUUUCCUUUUUUUUUUUGGUUUAUGUCAAAUAGUAGCCCAUAAUUAACCCAACCAUUAGCCUGUUUGAAUUGAUUUCACAUGCACAAUGUUGUAGUAGUUCAUAUUUUGAAUUUUAUUUUUACAAAGGUAGUUAAGGAAAAUGAAGUAUAAUAAUUAUAAAAGCAGACUAUAUACACUACAAUAAUUGUUAGAAUGGUAUCUCAAAUUCUAAUUUAAAAUAUUAUUUUUUGUAAAAGAAAUAUUAUAUAGAAUAUUUCCUAAUUUUAUAAAUGAUUAUAAUUAGAUCUUUAUAAAAUAAGGAAAGUUGGUAAGAAUAUCUUUAUAAAUAUUUUAGGUCAUGAGAGAAAGAAAUGGGAUAAAAAUGUGAUGAAGAGGUGAAAUAAGAGAGUUGAUUAGGAUAUAGAUGUGAAGAAGAAAGGGAUUCAAUAUAUAUAUAUCUUUCAAUUACCACAUUAAAACCCUGUGAACCUUUUAUAUGGUUUACUUUAUUUUUAUAUUCCUCCUUUAAUAUAUUUACAUUAAUGCUUCCAUUGGCACAACAAUAACGAAUUACAAAUACAAGCAACAAGUCCCAUGUUUUAUUACCAAAAGCAGGUAAAAUCCACCUAAUAUAUUACAAUAUAUUCAUCCAAUAUUUUAGACCAAUUCUUCACCAUAAAUAUCAUAAUGUGGCUUUUGUUCUUUCUUAAAUUUAAAUUGAAUUGUCUUAUAUCAAUUUGUUUGUGAUUUUUUCAUUAACUUCACUUUCAUUUGGUUAUCUUUGGUUUUUGAAAAGUAUUAAGGAAUUAAUUAACAAAAUAAUGUUAAGAAAAAUAAUUUUCUCUCUUUUGAUUUUGAUUUUGUAGUAGAAAAAUAUAAUUAAAAUUAUUUAAAAAGUAUGUAAUUUUAAAUUAUUUAAUAUUUAGAUAAAAAAAAUAAGUCUAAUGAGUUUAAAAUAACAUAUAAAAAUAAUUUAUUUAUUUUAAAUUUAUUUUUUAUUUUCCAUUAUGUUCUCUUUCUCUUUUACUUUUUCAUAUUUUUUCUUACGAAGAAUCAAACACAACCUCAUAUUAUAUGUCAAGUGUUUGUCUAUAUUUGAGCAAUGUUAGAUACGGCCAUGGAUUCAUCAAACUAAACUGAUUUUAAUAGAUACUUCACAAAUUGAUUUAUACACUAAAUCAUUGGAUAGCAAUGAUGCAUUGGAAUUAAACGUAGGAUGAAGCUCGAAGAACACUGUUUGUGUAACAACAUAUUUAUGAAAUUAUGCAAAGGAUGAGCUUCGGGGUAGUAGUACAAGGUCAUUAAUGGAGAGCCGUGUUAAACCUUGAUUGUGAUUGGAUUCCGUUAUCAGCAACAGCAACCUUGUUUGUAACCUUGAAAGUCAUUCUGUCCACAUCGAAACUCCAAUUUGACGUUUGUAAUUACCAUUCCUGGAGUGUUCCUUGAUUGAAAUUUAAAUAAUAAUUGCGGCCCACAAGGAAUAUUUUCGAUUCUGUGGGAAUUUGACAAGGUUUGUUAGAGAAGACUGGUGACAUGUUGACUUCAAUGGUUCAAAUAGGAGACGUAUGUGGAUUUGGGGGGUUUAAUUGAAACUGAGUCCCUAUGGCUUUUUAAUAUUUGCAUUGAGCAGUCUCCAUGUGACUUCCUAAUUCCCACCAACCCUCCUGUCCAUGCUGUGAAACUAAAUUGUAAUUUAUCAGCCUUUGUCAAUGGUUUCUAAAUUAAAGAUAUAGACCAUGCAUGUACUUUAAUAAAAGCAAAUCUAAAGUGUAGAUAGCAGCAAUGGUGACACCCAAUAUUCUCCAUAAAAUAGAAUUAGAAUAAGCAGUGUUACAUUGUUCAUGAUCACCUACAAGCAUACAAGAACUUCCAUGAAUAACUCAUAGCAAUUGCCAACAGGGCGUCGUAGAGACUCAUACAUAGAACACUAUCCACCCAGAGGAAAGGACAAGACCAGUGCGCUGCAGCUCUUAUUUUUCACAUGUAUACCACCACUCGUAAUAACCAAAUUCACUCAGUUGGGAUAGGUGGGAGAUGGUGGUUUGUGGGGUGGCUUGUGGGGAGGAGUUGGAGGAGGCUUUAUUUUCUGAGGCGGCUUGUAUGAGUGUGCAGGAGGAUGCCCGGGAGUGUGACCAUAAUGUGGUGGCUUCUCUCCCGUAGGUGGUUUGCCAAAUGGGCUUGGUGGCUUCUCUCCCUUAGGAGGUUUACCAAUUGGGGUUGGUGGCUUGUGUUCUGGGAGUGGUUUCUCUCCCUUGGUAGGUUUGCCAAUUGGGGUUGGCGGCUUAUGUUCUGGGAGUGGCUUCUCUCCCUUGGGAGGUUUGCUAAUUGGGGUUGGCGGCUUAUGUUCUGGGGGCGGCUUCUCUCCCUUGGGAGGUUUGCCAAUUGGAGUUGGCGGCUUAUGUUCUGGGAGUGGCUUUUCUCCCUUGGGAGGCUUGCCAAUUGGGGUUGGCGGCUUAUGUUCUGGGGGUGGCUUCUCUCCUUUAGGAGGUUUGCCAAUUGGAGUCGGCGGCUUAUGUUCUGGAAGUGGCUUUUUUCCCUUGGGAGGUUUGCCAAUUGGGGUUGGCGGCUUAUGUUCUGGGGGUGGCUUCUCUCCCUUGGGAGGUUUGCCAAUUGGAGUCGGCGGCUUAUGUUCUGGGAGUGGCUUCUCUCCCUUGGGAGGUUUUGUUGGUGGCUUGUGUUCUGGAGAUGGCUUCUCCCCUGGAGGCUUGUGCUCCGGAGGUGGCUUCUGAAAUGGCGGGGGCUUGGGGUAAUGAGCAAGAGAUGGAGUACUG
Molecule: long non-coding RNA, 26058 nt
Filed under: Vitis vinifera (wine grape)
Lineage: Eukaryota; Viridiplantae; Streptophyta; Magnoliopsida; Vitales; Vitaceae
Description: long non-coding RNA (VVIN_LNC001392)
Source: RNAcentral